Molecule: ribosomal RNA, 818 nt
Filed under: Janthinobacterium sp. BJB304
Lineage: Bacteria; Pseudomonadati; Pseudomonadota; Betaproteobacteria; Burkholderiales; Oxalobacteraceae
Description: bacterial SSU rRNA
Rfam family: Bacterial small subunit ribosomal RNA
Source: RNAcentral
GGAUGAAAGUGGGGGAUCGCAAGACCUCAUGCUCGUGGAGCGGCCGAUAUCUGAUUAGCUAGUUGGUAGGGUAAAAGCCUACCAAGGCAUCGAUCAGUAGCUGGUCUGAGAGGACGACCAGCCACACUGGAACUGAGACACGGUCCAGACUCCUACGGGAGGCAGCAGUGGGGAAUUUUGGACAAUGGGCGAAAGCCUGAUCCAGCAAUGCCGCGUGAGUGAAGAAGGCCUUCGGGUUGUAAAGCUCUUUUGUCAGGGAAGAAACGGUGAGAGCUAAUAUCUCUUGCUAAUGACGGUACCUGAAGAAUAAGCACCGGCUAACUACGUGCCAGCAGCCGCGGUAAUACGUAGGGUGCAAGCGUUAAUCGGAAUUACUGGGCGUAAAGCGUGCGCAGGCGGUUUUGUAAGUCUGAUGUGAAAUCCCCGGGCUCAACCUGGGAAUUGCAUUGGAGACUGCAAGGCUAGAAUCUGGCAGAGGGGGGUAGAAUUCCACGUGUAGCAGUGAAAUGCGUAGAUAUGUGGAGGAACACCGAUGGCGAAGGCAGCCCCCUGGGUCAAGAUUGACGCUCAUGCACGAAAGCGUGGGGAGCAAACAGGAUUAGAUACCCUGGUAGUCCACGCCCUAAACGAUGUCUACUAGUUGUCGGGUCUUAAUUGACUUGGUAACGCAGCUAACGCGUGAAGUAGACCGCCUGGGGAGUACGGUCGCAAGAUUAAAACUCAAAGGAAUUGACGGGGACCCGCACAAGCGGUGGAUGAUGUGGAUUAAUUCGAUGCAACGCGAAAAACCUUACCUACCCUUGACAUGGCUGGAAUCC